GCGGGUGUAGUACAGUGGUAGUACGGUUGCUUCCCAAGCAAUAGACGAGGGUCCGAUUCCCUUCACCCGCUCAA
RNAcentral lists this transfer RNA (74 nucleotides) under Candidatus Yanofskybacteria bacterium RIFCSPHIGHO2_01_FULL_39_44. Its description in RNAcentral is "tRNA-Gly". It matches the Rfam family "tRNA". From Rfam's summary of the family: Transfer RNA (tRNA) molecules are approximately 80 nucleotides in length. Their secondary structure includes four short double-helical elements and three loops (D, anti-codon, and T loops). Lineage: Bacteria; Candidatus Yanofskyibacteriota. The record is from RNAcentral.